CCGUGGGAGGGAAGGCACUCUCUGUCAAGCUGCUGUCACCUUACCUGAAGUAAGGAGUCCACGCCUGCAUGUCCGAGGAAAACAGUUUUCUCAAACACAUUAGUUGAAAAACUGAAGACGCUGCCUAAAAUACAAGCUGAGUUAGAGACAGCCCUUGUAAGACUAGAAAAAGAAAUGGAAACUAAGUAACAUGAAUUAACAUAGUCCAGGGUCACAAAGCAACAUGGAACAAGAACCUGGAUCUGAAUUCAGAGGCAGAAUGCUGGGAAAGGCCUUGUGAGGACAUAACCAGGAAGAGAGUCCUCACCAGAACCUGACCAUACCUGCACCCUGAUCUCAAGCUUCCAGCUUCCAGAACCAUGAGAAAUCAAUGUUUGUUGUUUUAGCCACCCAGUCUACAGAAAUUUGUUAUAGCCACCCUAGCUGACUACCACAUUGGACAUCACAGCAAACACUACAACCACAAGUCCAGUUGGCUCCACAAGCUUGAGCUCACCAUUUCUCACCAGCUCCACCGCUACCUCCAAAUAAAAGAAAUGGCUGAAAUCCUUUGGAACCAAUAUGACCAACUGGAGUCGGUGCAGAAGGAGCUUGCUGACAACGCAGCCUGAAUUUCCACCCUAUGUUUCAUACCAACUCCCCCUGAAUUUGCACAUGUGAUACAUGAGAUAGCAUGAAGAGAUAACUGAGCAUGCCCAAGGACUUUCCAGACUUCUGCUUUCCUUCCACCAAUCACCUGCUAAUCUCAGAAUCCACCCCCUGAAACUUUUCUAAUAAAAA
RNAcentral lists this long non-coding RNA (780 nucleotides) under Homo sapiens (human). RNAcentral describes it as "INTS6 antisense RNA 1". Lineage: Eukaryota; Metazoa; Chordata; Mammalia; Primates; Hominidae. The record is from RNAcentral.